This 254-nucleotide ribosomal RNA is filed under the name uncultured bacterium. RNAcentral describes it as "partial 16S ribosomal RNA". It matches the Rfam family "Bacterial small subunit ribosomal RNA", at positions 524 to 776 of the family's 1533-position model. The record is from RNAcentral.
CACGUAGGGGGCGAGCGUUGUCCGGAAUCAUUGGGCGUAAAGAGCUCGUAGGCGGCUCAAUAAGUCGGGUGUGAAACCCCCAGGCUCAACCUGGGGACGCCACCCGAUACUGUUGUGGCUAGAGUCCAGUGGGGGAGUGUGGAAUUCCCGGUGUAGCGGUGAAAUGCGCAGAUAUCGGGAGGAACACCAGCGGCGAAGGCGGCACUCUGGGCUGGUACUGACGCUGAGGAGCGAAAGCGUGGGUAGCAAACAGG